CCUACGGGUGGCAGCAGUGGGGAAUAUUGCACAAUGGGGGAAACCCUGAUGCAGCAACGCCGCGUGAGUGAGGAAGUAUUUCGGUAUGUAAAGCUCUAUCAGCAGGGAAUAGCAAAGAAGGUACCAGUAAACGAAGCCCCGGCUAACGACGUGCAAGCAGCCGCGGUAAUACGUAGGGGGCAAGCGUUAUUCGGAAUUACUGGGUGUAAAGGGAGCGUAGACGGAAAGGCAAGUCAGAAGUGAAAGCCCAAGUCUCAACCAUGGUACUGCUUUUGAAACUGGCAAACUAGAGUACGGGAGAGGUAAGAGGAAUUCCUAGUGUAGGAGUGAAAUCCGUAGAUAUCUGGAGGAACAUCAGUGGCGAAGGCGACUAUCUGGCACAUAACUGACGCUGAGGAGCGAAAGCGUGGGUAGCAAACAGGAUUAGAUACCCCGGUAGUC
Molecule: ribosomal RNA, 441 nt
Filed under: uncultured bacterium
Lineage: Bacteria
Description: partial 16S ribosomal RNA
Rfam family: Bacterial small subunit ribosomal RNA
Source: RNAcentral